This 345-nucleotide ribosomal RNA is filed under the name Escherichia coli. RNAcentral describes it as "bacterial LSU rRNA". It matches the Rfam family "Bacterial large subunit ribosomal RNA", at positions 1 to 373 of the family's 2925-position model. Lineage: Bacteria; Pseudomonadati; Pseudomonadota; Gammaproteobacteria; Enterobacterales; Enterobacteriaceae. The record is from RNAcentral.
GGGUUGUGAGGUUAAGCGACUAAGCGUACACGGUGGAUGCCCUGGCAGUCAGAGGCGAUGAAGGACGUGCUAAUCUGCGAUAAGCGUCGGUAAGGUGAUAUGAACCGUUAUAACCGGCGAUUUCCGAAUGGGGAAACCCAGUGUGUUUCGACACACUAUCAUUAACUGAAUCCAUAGGUUAAUGAGGCGAACCGGGGGAACUGAAACAUCUAAGUACCCCGAGGAAAAGAAAUCAACCGAGAUUCCCCCAGUAGCGGCGAGCGAACGGGGAGGAGCCCAGAGCCUGAAUCAGUGUGUGUGUUAGUGGAAGCGUCUGGAAAGGCGCGCGAUACAGGGUGACAGCCC